GAGGUCCAGCCUGCCCGGUGACAAGUUUAACGGCCGCGGUACCCUAACCGUGCGAAGGUAGCAUAAUCACUUGUUCUUUAAAUAGGGACUAGUAUCAACGGCAUCACGAGGGUUACACUGUCUCCUUUCUCCAAUCAGUGAAACUGAUCUCCCCGUGAAGAAGCGAGGAUAAGACUAUAAGACGAGAAGACCCCAUGGAGCUUUAAGCUCAACAACAACUCCUAUGAAAAUAACUCAUAAUAGUACAUGAUACCUGUUUGUUAGCUUUAGGUUGGGGUGACCGCGGAGUAUAAUUUAACCUCCACGGCAAACGGGUUUUAAACCCUAAUCCAAGAGCCACUGCUCUAAGAAUCAUCAUAUUGAUGCAAAAUGAUCCGAUUUUCGAUCAACGAACCAAGUUACCCUGGGGAUAACAGCGCAAUCCAUUUCUAGAGCCCCUAUCGACAAAUGGGUUUACGACCUCGAUGUUGGAUCAGGGUAUCCUAGUGGUGCAGCCGCUACUAAAGGUUCGUUUGUUCAACGAUUAAAACCCUAC
This 535-nucleotide ribosomal RNA is filed under the name Amietia angolensis (Angola river frog). Its description in RNAcentral is "partial 16S ribosomal RNA". It matches the Rfam family "Bacterial large subunit ribosomal RNA", at positions 1849 to 2599 of the family's 2925-position model. The record is from RNAcentral. Lineage: Eukaryota; Metazoa; Chordata; Amphibia; Anura; Pyxicephalidae.